GGGGGCGACAUGGCUUCGACGUGGAUCGCGAAACCCGAGGGGCAUGCCGAGGUGCGGAUUACCUCGUAAAACCAUCUGCAAAUCAUAUAGUUGCCAACGACGACAACUACGCACUAGCUGCUUAAAAACCAGCCUGGUGCCCUCUGGCCGGCGGCGUGCCUGUGCGCACCGGAUCCCAGGGGUCAUCCCACACAGGAUCGCGCCAAAGCUCGUCCGGGGCAGCGGCGUUAAAACCUUACCGGACUCGCCAGUGGUUUUCCCCGCCCGCCGGGUAACUGCUGGUCAAAUCAAUAGGCGUGGAUAAGCAUGUAGAUCCGAAGGCAGAGGAUUUGCGGACGCGGGUUCGAUUCCCGCCGCCUCCACCA
This 365-nucleotide transfer-messenger RNA is filed under the name Gammaproteobacteria (g-proteobacteria). RNAcentral's name for it is "HyVt-448 sp011051615 Standard tmRNA". It matches the Rfam family "transfer-messenger RNA". From Rfam's summary of the family: Bacterial tmRNA, also known as 10Sa RNA or SsrA, is named for its dual tRNA and mRNA-like properties. Its role is to liberate the mRNA from a stalled ribosome. Lineage: Bacteria; Pseudomonadati; Pseudomonadota. RNAcentral also lists the same sequence under 1 other name. The record is from RNAcentral.